RNAcentral lists this non-coding RNA (159 nucleotides) under uncultured Selenomonas sp. The record is from RNAcentral. Lineage: Bacteria; Bacillati; Bacillota; Negativicutes; Selenomonadales; Selenomonadaceae.
CAGGUGUCGCAAGACUCAAUAGAGAAGCCGGUCAAGUCCGGCGCGGUCCCGCCACUGUAUCAGGGAGCGCCGCUGCAGAGAUGUCACUGGGGACGGAGAAGCGUCCUUCGGGAAGGCGCAGCGGCGCGAGGAACUGGAGCCAGGAGAACUGCCUGAUAG